GCCCUUGUGGCGGAAUUGGUAGACGCACGGGACUUAAAAUCCCGAGCUCCGAGAGGGGCGUGCCGGUUCGAGUCCGGCCGGGGGCACCA
RNAcentral lists this transfer RNA (89 nucleotides) under Acidobacteriota bacterium. RNAcentral describes it as "tRNA-Leu". It matches the Rfam family "tRNA". From Rfam's summary of the family: Transfer RNA (tRNA) molecules are approximately 80 nucleotides in length. Lineage: Bacteria; Pseudomonadati; Acidobacteriota. The record is from RNAcentral.